UACGUAGGAUGCGAGCGUUGUCCGGAUUUAUUGGGCGUAAAGAGAACGUAGGCGGCCUGUUAAGUUUGGUCUUAAAGACCGGGGCUCAACCCCGGGAGUGGAUCGAAUACUGGCAGGCUGGAGGACGGCAGAGGAAGGUGGAAUUCCCAGUGUAGCGGUGAAAUGCGUAGAUAUUGGGAGGAACACCGGUGGCGAAAGCGACCUUCUGGGCCGUUCCUGACGCUGAGGCGCGAAAGCGUGGGGAGCAAACAGG
RNAcentral lists this unclassified non-coding RNA (253 nucleotides) under uncultured cyanobacterium. RNAcentral's name for it is "contains 16S-23S intergenic spacer region". It matches the Rfam family "Bacterial small subunit ribosomal RNA", at positions 524 to 776 of the family's 1533-position model. Lineage: Bacteria; Bacillati; Cyanobacteriota. The record is from RNAcentral.